Molecule: ribosomal RNA, 1619 nt
Filed under: Basidiobolus meristosporus B9252
Lineage: Eukaryota; Fungi; Basidiobolomycota; Basidiobolomycetes; Basidiobolales; Basidiobolaceae
Description: eukaryotic LSU rRNA
Rfam family: Eukaryotic large subunit ribosomal RNA
Source: RNAcentral
GCCCUUGAAAAUCCAAGGGAAAGAACCAGUUUCAUGCCUGGUCAUACUCAUAACCACACCAGGUCUCCAUGGUGAACAGCCUCUAGUUGAUAGAACAAUGUAGAUAAGGGAAGUCAGCAAAAUAGAUCCGUAGCUUUGGGAAGAGGAUUGGCUCUAAGGGUUGGGUAGUCUGGGCUAUGUUUAGAAGCCGCAGUACUGCCAGUGGACUAUGACUGUCACAAGAUGAUUGCAGACUGCAGGUGCACCUGCAUCUGGAAGAGUGUAGUUUCCUCCUCACAGGGGGGGGAGUACAGGGCUAUGCUGAACAACCAACUUAGAACUGGCAUGGACAAGGGGAAUCUGACUGUCUAAUUAAAACAUAGCAUUGCAAUGGCCAGAAAGUGGUGUUGAUGCAAUGUGAUUUCUGCCCAGUGCUCUGAAUGUCAAAGUGAAGAAAUUCUACCAAGCAUGGGUAAAUAGUGGGAGUAACUAUGACUCUCUUAAGAUAGCCAAAUGCCUCGUCAUCUAAUUAGUGAUGUGCAUGAAUGGAUUUACAAGAUUCCCACUGUCCCUAUCUACUAUCUAGCAAAACCACAGCCAAGGGAACAGGCUUUGCAGAAUCAGCAGGGAAAGAAGACCCUGUUGAGCUUGACUCUAGUUUGACAUUGUGAAAAGACAUAGAGGGUGUAGAAUAAGUGGGAGACUUUGGUCAACAGUGAAAUACCACUACCUUUAUCAUCUUUUUACUCAUUUAAUGAGGUAGAGGGGGGCUUCAUUGCCUAACUUCUAGCAUUAAGGUUCUUCCAACAAACUGAUCUAGGUUAAAGACAUUGUCAGGUGGGGAGUUUGGCUGGGGUGGCACAUCUGUUAGAAGAUAACACAGGUGUCCUAAGGGGGACUCAUUCAGAACAGAAAUCUCAAGUAGAACAAAAAGGUAAAAGUCCCCUUGAUUUUGAUUUUCAGUGUGAAUACAAACCAUCAAAGUGUGGCCUAUCAAUCCUUUAGUCCCUUGAAAUUUAAGGCUAGAGGUGUCAGAAAAGUUACCACAGGGAUAACUGGCUUGUGGCAGCCAAGCAUUCAUAGUGAUGUUGCUCUUUGGUCCUUUGAUGUUGGCUCUUCCUAUCAUACUGAGGCAGAAUUCAGUAAGCGUUGGAUUGUUCACCCACUAAUAGGGAACGUGAGCUGGGUUUAGACCAUUGUGAGACAGGUUAGUUUUACCCUACUGAUGAAUUAUUGUUGCAAUAGUAGUUCAACUUAGUACAAGAGGAACCAUUGAUUCAGAUAAUUGGUAUUUGCCCUUAGCUGACAAGCCAAUGGGGCAAAGCUACCAUCUGUUGGAUUAUGGCUGAAUGCCUCUAAGUCAGAAUCUGUGCUAGAAAGCGACAAUGCUUACCUUCUCCAUAUUUAGAUGAAUACAAAUAGAGUACUAUUGUAGUGCUCCAGUAUCCAAGCAGGGGGACAUUAGCAAAGUGGUGGAAGUGCUGCUUGGUGAGUUCCUGAAUUGUAAUUUCAAAUACUGGAGAGGAUAAAUCCUUUGCAGAUUACUUAAAUAAGGAAUGGGGUAUUGUAAGCAGUAGAGUAGCCUUGUUGCUACAAUCUGCUGAGAUUAAGCCUUUUGUUCUUUAUACAGAACAAAUUCU